AUGUUGAUGCAAGGCUACUUCGCGGAGAAUCCAACAUAUCCGCCACACCUCUUCCGUAGAAGGUACCGAAUAUGUCGAUCCCUCUUUGUGAAAAUUGUUCAAGCUUGCGAGGCCAGCUGUCGAUAUUUCACUCAAAGAAGAAAUGUCACGGGCUUGAAGGGAUUUAGUGCAUAUCAGAAAAUCCCGGUGGCUAUGCGAGUAAUUGCAUACGACAUUCCGCCUAACUACGCCGAUGACACUACAAGAAACCUGCUGAUCUGUGACAGAUAUAAACCGUCACAGCAGUGCGCAAAACCGUCAGGCCUUGUCCUUCGUGACGGAUUCAGAAUCUGUCAUGUAUCGCGCGUCACAAUUUGCCACCAGCACACUCCGUGA
RNAcentral lists this ribosomal RNA (375 nucleotides) under Triticum aestivum (bread wheat). Its description in RNAcentral is "partial small subunit ribosomal RNA". Lineage: Eukaryota; Viridiplantae; Streptophyta; Magnoliopsida; Poales; Poaceae. The record is from RNAcentral.